Molecule: ribosomal RNA, 232 nt
Filed under: uncultured bacterium
Lineage: Bacteria
Description: partial 16S ribosomal RNA
Rfam family: Bacterial small subunit ribosomal RNA (bases 36-232)
Source: RNAcentral
UAGCGGUAAGAAGUACUGAUGUUGGUUAUUACAUCUUUAAUAGGUUUAAAGGGGUACCUAGACGGUAUAAUUAAGUCUAAAAUAAGAUACGGUUAUACUAGAGUUAUAUAUGAGGAGGUGAGUAUUUAUGGAGUAGAGUUGAAAUUUGUUGAUCCCAUAACGACUGGUAUGGCGAAAGCAACCUUUUAUCUAAUAACUGACGUUGAGGGACGAAGCUCGGGUAACGAACAGG